This 489-nucleotide long non-coding RNA is filed under the name Zea mays. Its description in RNAcentral is "long non-coding RNA (ZMAY_LNC005421)". The record is from RNAcentral. Lineage: Eukaryota; Viridiplantae; Streptophyta; Magnoliopsida; Poales; Poaceae.
GAGGAGAGAAGUGGGCACACACCAUGCGUCGCGCCUGCCACCGGAGCUGCACCAGGGGCAACCUCUAUGGCCAUAGCAGCUUCCUCUUGGACGAACGAAGGAACCGUCGGCCCAGGAGGAACCACACCGUUGGCGGUCAUGCUCAGGUUCCCCUAGACAACUAGGGAGGUCGACAUGGCUGUCCUUAGAGGGGCAACCAAACGGGUCACUCCGACCGACGUUGGCGGCAUAUGGAGUUGGGAGGUUGAAGUGCCUCCUUUUGUCGCAAGGACUGCAUCCUUCACCAUCUUGUGCGACAUGUAUGCACUGAUGAAAUAAUCUAGUAAAGGCACGGAACAAUGGCGAAGAAGAAAAGGACAAGAGAUCAUGACAUACCGGGAGGAGCGCCUUCAAGUAAAGGGCCUCCUCUAUGUCUAAGGGAUCACCACCGCUAGUGCAGAAGGUGCUAGAGGAGGCACUGCCAGCAGCUCCACCUCCUAGUGAUGCUCU